AGUGAACGCUGGCGGUAGGCCUAACACAUGCAAGUCGAACGGCAGCACAGUAAGAGCUUGCUCUUACGGGUGGCGAGUGGCGGACGGGUGAGGAAUACAUCGGAAUCUACUUUUUCGUGGGGGAUAACGUAGGGAAACUUACGCUAAUACCGUAUACGACCUACGGGUGAAAGCAGGGGAUCUUCGGACCUUGCGCGAUUGAAUGAGCCGAUGUCGGAUUAGCUAGUUGGCGGGGUAAAGGCCCACCAAGGCGACGAUCCGUAGCUGGUCUGAGAGGAUGAUCAGCCACACUGGAACUGAGACACGGUCCAGACUCCUACGGGAGGCAGCAGUGGGGAAUAUUGGACAAUGGGCGCAAGCCUGAACCAGCCAUACCGCGUGGGUGAAGAAGGCCUUCGGGUUGUAAAGCCCUUUUGUUGGGAAAGAAAAGCAGCAGGUUAAUACCCCGCUGUUCUGACGGUACCCAAAGAAUAAGCACCGGCUAACUUCGUG
RNAcentral lists this ribosomal RNA (492 nucleotides) under uncultured bacterium. RNAcentral's name for it is "partial 16S ribosomal RNA". It matches the Rfam family "Bacterial small subunit ribosomal RNA", at positions 29 to 507 of the family's 1533-position model. The record is from RNAcentral.